RNAcentral lists this ribosomal RNA (354 nucleotides) under uncultured bacterium. RNAcentral's name for it is "bacterial SSU rRNA". It matches the Rfam family "Bacterial small subunit ribosomal RNA", at positions 8 to 349 of the family's 1533-position model. The record is from RNAcentral.
AGAGUUUGAUCCUGGCUCGGGAUGAACGCUAGCUACAGGCUUAACACAUGCAAGUCGAGGGGAAACGAUAUUGGAAGCUUGCUUCCGAUAGGCGUCGACCGGCGCACGGGUGAGUAACGCGUAUCCAACCUGCCCACCACUUGGGGAUAACCUUGCGAAAGUAAGACUAAUACCCAAUGACGUCUCUAGAAGACAUCUGAAAGAGAUUAAAGAUUUAUCGGUGAUGGAUGGGGAUGCGUCUGAUUAGCUUGUUGGCGGGGUAACGGCCACCAAGGCUACGAUCAGUAGGGGUUCUGAGGAGGAAGGUCCCCCACAGUUCGGAACUGAGACACGGUCCAAACUCCUACGGGAGCA